AGCGAGUACCUGAAACUCGCGUACUUUCUCUACCUGUCUGAAACGUGUUAUCCUAAUUAUUUUCCAAGUGAUUAAUCUAAUUGGAAUUUAAAAAAUUAGGUGAAUUAAUGAAUUUUUUUUCAUAGGGCAUGGCUCAAAUAUUGAAUGCUGGUGUUGCAAUGAUGGAGGUGUUAAAGGGGGAAAUUGUGGUGUUGGUACUAGCAUUUAUUGAGAUUUACCAUUAGAGAAAAUCAUAGAUGGAUAUUUCAUAUCAUAUCAUAUCAUAUAAUUAAUAUUUUUUUUUUUUAGAUUUGUUUUUUUGUAUUAAAAAAAUGUGAUAAAAGUUGGGUUGGAUGUUGUUUAAGAAAUGUUCCUUGACAUGAUUUUCAAAAUUUGUCACUUUUAUUAGGUAAUAAUUAUGCUAGCAAUUAAAUUAAUUUUUUAAUUUCAUUCUUUCCUUUUCUUGCCCCAAAAAAUAUGGUAUUGCCUUUCUUAAUUUAAUGUCUUCUUCAUGGUCAAAGAUGUUGUUUCAUUUUCCUUCCUAUGGUUAGGGUUGAGAUUUUUAUGAUGUUCAUUCUAAAUUUCGAGUUAAAAUUGUUUGAAAUUACUCAAACUAAUUAACGAAAUAACGGUCAGGGUUAUAUUGUAUAUUAUGAAAUCUUUGGGUUUUGACAUAUAUUCAAUGUGUAUCGAUGUGUUUAUUCUUAAUUUUGUCAAAAUAAGCUCGAUAUUUGUCUAAUUAUUUUAAACCAAUAAGUGCUCUAAGUUGAUUAAUAUUGUCAUGUUAUAUUGUGUCAUUUUCUAUAAAUUAUGCAUCGAGAUUUUUGUCUUAGGACUUAAGAAAAGUGAUGAACAAAUUAAUAAAGUUAACUAAUACCGUUAAAGUGUGACAUUUAUUAGUAUUCACACGUCCCAUAAAGUCUAAUACGCUCCCUUUCUAGUUUGGCCAAAAUGAGUUCAACGGGUAUUAUUCUAUUUGUUUGACAAGGAGAUUAAUAGGUAGAGAUUAAUCAUUUUAUCUUAUUAAAUUACACCAUAUACAUAAGCAUCAAAUUGACUAAUUAAGGUUCUUUGACAACUUAAGUGCCAACCGUUACAAUAACUAAAUCAAUUAUCAUAGUUACAUUGUAAAGUCAAAUAGUGUUUCACAAAUGAUCUAUAUAAAACAAUAUGCUUUCACCUUACUUCGUUGAAACCGAUUCAAUAUGCGUCAAUACCUUGCAAAAAUCGACUAGUAUGGUGUUUAUUUUUUUAACUUAAUGUUGAAUAUAAUUUGUUUUUAGAUUUUAGACACUUAUUUUAAUUUUAUUUAUUUUUACUUAUUACUCAUUUUAAAAAAGAAUGUUUUAACUCAAUAGAAAAUGUCAAAAUAUUCGACUUUUUGUUGAAUAUCAAUUUCUUUAAAACAAUUAAAGCAUAAUCUCAAUAUUACCCUCAUUAUAUUAUACACUUAAUACUUUAUAUAAACAAAAUAAUAAAAAUCAAUAAACAACUUGAUAUUAUUAAUUUAUACUUAAAAUUAAAUUAAGUUUUAUUUAGAUUCAAGUGACUACAUUUCAUUAAAGCAAGAGAAAGAAUUUAAAUCAAUUAAACUUAUAUAUAUUAGGUUAUAUGGUUCCUUUAUGAAGGUCAAAUCAAAAUUCUUUUGUAUGUCCUUGUAAAAAGUCAAUUACCAUAGUAGUGGGGGAUAAAGACUCACUUAUAGCGUAAAUUUUGCUCCAUGUGACAUAUGUCCCAUAGACACUAUUGUCCAAUCUUCUGGACGUUGGUUAACGGUCUUAAUCUAUAUCAUCUUAUCAAAUCUAUAGUGAAUAAUUGAUACCAAUCAUAUCAAUAUGUUUUUUUUAUCCUAUGAUUUUUAUUUUUAAAAAGUUAUUUAACAUAAGAAAAAAAAAUGAUCACCACAUUAAAUGGAGUGGCCGCCAUCAUUAGAUGGUAAUCCAUGAUGAUAAGAAUGUGUCCCAUGGUCUACCUCGUGAACUAAUCAAACAUUCACCUGUGUCAUUAUGUGCUAAGUAAACCUUUGACCUUGAACUUCUAGAAGUUGAUUUUCCCGAACAAUUCAAGAUUUUGCAAGAAAAAAAUUAUACCCUUUUCUUAUAAAUAACAUGUAUCGAGAUGCCCUCAUCAUCUAAAUCUGUACGAAGAAUACCGAUAAUAGAGAUGAAGACCAUAUUUGAUAAAUAUUUUUGAAAAAAAAAAUAAUUCUAAUCAAUUUUAAAAAUUUAACUAACCAAUUAACUGCUUUCAAAUGUAGCAACAUCCCCCCAUAAAAAUAUCCUAAAAAGAAAAAAAGAAAAAAAAUGGAAAAGGAACUGCAGCAUAACCUCAAAGUGAGGUUUACACCAAGGGGAGGCCCAACUGAGGGCAGGGAGGUAGGUCAUCCACUGAAGACCAGACUCAAGUUGUGUACUUUGACACUCAAAUUAUAAUUUUAAAGAAUCCAUUUAAAAAAUAAAGCAUGUAAAAAAUAUAUAUUAUUUUAUAUUAAUUAAAACCAAGCAUUUUGGUCUACAAUUUAUAUAUAUAUUUUAAUUUUAAUAAAAUAAUUUCAACCAAUCUUAUUAAUUAAAAAUAUCAAUCAAACCAAGCAUUUUGGUCUACAAUUUAUAUAUAUAUAUAUAUUUUUUAAUUUUAAUAAAAUAAUUUCAACCAACCUUAUUAAUUAAAAAUAUCAAUCAAAACCAAGCAUUUUGGUCUACAAUUUAUAUAUAUUUUUUAAUUUUAAUAAAAUAAGUUCAACCAACUUUAUUAGAAGUACAUUUAAUGUUGAUUCUUUCCUUGGCUGCUUUGCUCUCAUUCUUACCAAUUCUUCAUUGAAACCAUGCCUAUUUUGUGAUCCACUUUUCAGUAUUUUAUAGGGUUAUAUUUAUUAAAUUUUAUUUUAAAUUGACACGUUGUCAGCCUACAUGGAAUUUAGGAAAAAAAUUUAUUGGGAGAAUAGGUAAAUUUAGUGAAAAAUGAUUGUGAGAAAAGAGAAAAGAAUUUGAGUUGAAAUUCAUAUUUAAAAGAAAACAUUAUAAAAAUAUAGAUUGGCUUUUUAUUUUAUUUUUGCAAUGAGGCUGUAAAUUGAAAUUUUAGGUUUUUAAAAGAUUAAUAGAAAAAAUAAGUUUUUUAUUAUUAUUAAAAACACUUACCAAAUUUGAUGAGAAAUAUAAAAGAGGAAGAAAAUUUGAUGAGAAAUUUUUUAUUAAAUAUUCCUAAAAGGUGUUUUCCCUUAAUUUGCUAAAAGUAAAUUCUUUAAAUUUUUAAAAGAAAAAAGGGAGAAAAAAAAGGGUUAGAUUUUUCCAAAUAAUUUAAAAUUUCUUUCUUAAAUUUAAUAAAAAAUAUACUUGUUUAACUAAUUUGUUGAAAAAAAAAUUAUAAUUUAAGAAAUAAUUUAGUAUAAAAGUCAAGAAAAUAUUUAUUUUUUAUAAUUUUUUUAAUUAUAUAAUUUUUUUUAUAUUUAGUAAUAAUUAUCAUUUAUGGUACAAAUAUUAUCCUUUAUAUUAAUCCCUUUUACUUUCUGUAAAAAUUAUGAUUUUGACUUUAAUUUUUAUUUUUAAUUAAAGUUAAAAUUAAAAUGUUAAUACAAACAUACUCUGAUUUAUAAAAGAAAAAAAAUUUUAAACUGCGUUGGCACAUAGCAAGUAAAUUAGUAAUCAUGUAGAAACUAAUUAUUAAUAUUAUUAUUAUUAUAUUUUUAUUUUUUAAAGGGAAGGGUGAGAAAUAAGAAAAAAAAUAAUUGUGAAAUAAUAAUAAUAAUAAUAGUGCAGACUGAGAGUGCAAUCAAGUGAAGAAGUUGUAUAGUGGGAGUGAGAGUGGGAGUCAAAAGAGGUAUUGAUGGGUCAAAACUGUUGAUACUGUCUGAAUCACUGGAUCUUCAUGUCACACCCACAGCAAUGAUGACAAACACCUAACCUAUUAAUAUAAAAGACACACCAAAUGUUUCUCUCCCUCUCCCUCUCCCAACAACUCUCCCUUCAAUAUUUCUAUUUGAUUCUGUGGAGACAAUGAUAGGGACUUACUAUUUCAUAACAUCGUUUUUUUUUUUUUUUAUCAUCACAUAUAAUAUGCCCCAAUUCCAUAAUUCCAUGACCAAAUUUAGAUUCUCUAUUUUUUGUUUUUCUUAGCAUUUUGUUAUUAUUUUCUCUCCAAAACAUUGGAAAACAACAAUUAUCAUUCCAACCUACAAUUAGUUUAAAUAAAUAGUAUAAAAUUAUAUUAAGGUGUAAAAAGUAUGAUUUGAUUGAUUCAUCGAAAAAUAAUUAAGAUGGAUUUAUGGUUGAAUUUAAACCGAAAUUGUUUUAAACUUAAAUAUAAUUUCUUUUUAAAAAUAAUUAAAAUUAACUUGGAUUUAAAGUUUAAGAUAUAUUUAAACUUUUUAACCCGGGAUAUGAUGAAUGUAUUUAAAAAGUGGUUUGAUUAUAGUCUUAUAAGUAAUUAGAAUGAAUUAUUUUAAUAGAAUUAAUAAAAUAUGUAAAUAAAUAUAAAAAAAUUAUAAAACAUUAAAUAAUUAUAGAUGAUAAAAGAUACAUUUUUUAAAACGUUUGGUUUGAUUUUGUUUGAUUAAUAUUAUAUUAACAAAAUAAAAAAUCGAACCUAUAAAAAGAUUAUCAAAUAUUGAAUAAUUAUAAAUCAAGGUAUUUUUAUAAUGAUGGUUUGAUUUAGUUUUACUAAUCAAGGGAUAAGGAAACCAAAAUUCAACCCAAUAAUUUAUAUAUGUUCUCAAAUUUAUAAAUAAAAAAAAAGCCUAUUAAGAUUUUUUUUUAAAUUAAAAAUUAAAAAAUCAGUGAUUUUUAUAUUUCAAACAAAAGAAAAAAGGAAAAGCAACGUUUCAGUGGACAAAAAAGAAGGGGAAGACUUGCGAGCCAUGAGCUGAAAUUGGGGUGAUGUGGCCUGCGUUGAAGCGCGUUAUCUGAUGAUGUGGCCCCUGAUGUGGACUGACUCAGUCCGCGUUAGAUAUUUUGUAUGUUGACUGACUCGGUCAACCACCAAUUUGUGCUUAUGUGUACCACUUACAUGUCUAACCUGCCAUGUCAUCAUUUGUCAUGCUCAAUGCACCAUGGGCCAUUCCUCUUCUCAACUCCUCCAACUCCUCUUCCACAAAAAUAAAAAUGAAAAAUAUUCUUAAAAAUAAAAAAUAUUUUUGAAACCUAAAAAUACGUUUGAUCAUAUAUAUACUUAUAUUUAUAAUUUGUUAUUAUUAGAGUUGGCUUUAGGUACUUAAGUGGGUUGACUCAAUCCGGACCCAAUACCCAAUAGAAAAGAAAAUGGGAGGAGAUCUUUACGAAUAUUUCUACAAUUUAAAAAAAAAAAAAAUUUCUUUUCUUUUUCUCUCUCAGAGAAUAUCUUGUAACAAGAAAAAAAAAAUUAUAAGAGAAUAAAUUUUUUUUCUUACCAUCUCUCCCCUUAGAGAGAGAGAAGACAAUAUAAAUUUCUUUUAUUUAUUUAUUUAUUUUUAUUGAGAAAGCUAAAAUAAGUUAAAGUAUUGUUGUGGAAAAAAAUGGCUUUCCUAUUUAUAGUUUCAUUCAUGGCUUGAAUAUAGAAAAUUGAUCAAUGAAACAAUCAAUUCAGAUUUCUUGUGAUUUUAGAAAGUAAUUUAAAAGUCUUAUUUUAUUUAGAAAAUAAGAUAUUUUAUAAUAAUAUUUUUAUUAAUUUAAAAAAAUAUUUGGAAUAUUAGUGGAAAAUAAAACAAUAUAAAUUUAAUUUAUUUAUUUAUUUUCAAAAAUAUUACCAAAAGUUAAUGGGAAAGAAAGGGAGAAACAAUAGGUUCCUUAUGAUUUAAGAUUUUUUUUCUUUCAUAGGUAAAAAUAAUUGAAAGAGAGGCCAAAGGUAGAAACAAACCACUCCCUUUCUAUUAUAGUCCUCAUUUAUGCCCCGAAUUUGGGGUUUGAAAAGUACAUGCACAAAAAAAAUAAAAAAAUAAAAAAAAUCUUAGGUCCCUACCCAAGGUCAACGUUUACCAAAAAUGAGCUCAGAAUCUACAUUGGAAUCUCCUUUUGCCAAAUCGAGUGACCUAAAAGUUGCCACGUUAGCACAUAGCCUCCAAAACAGCUAUGAGUGGUUGAUUACUUUCUCAAAAUUUGAACGUUACUUUCAUAAGCUUCAUUUAAAAAGCUAAUCAAAACAAUUCAAUCAAUACACAAACUUCCACAAAAACCAUGGUACGUGGCUGUCACGUGUACACCUACUUUUUCAAAUUAUUUAUUCUAUACAACGUUAUAAUUUGUAUGGUUUUUAAAAUAAAUUAAUAAAUAUUUAUAUAUUAUGACCUGUCAAAUAGUUAAUUCAAAUAUUAAGAGCUUAUCUCUUGCUUUAAAUAAUAAUUCAAGCUCAUUACUACUUAUUUUUCUUCCCUUUAAUAUUUCUUUUUUGUAGUUGAUUUUCCUUUUAAUCUUGAUUUUUUUUAUAAAAAAAAUAUUAUAUACGUUACUUUUGAUUUUCCUUGCCCCUUGGUUUAGGGCGAGUUGUUCCACCUUAAUUCAAUAAGAAAUUCAAAUAGAAUGAGACAUGACAUGUGUGAUAAUUUUUCGUGUUUAUCUGUUCUUGUUCAUUCUAAUUAUAAAAUUUUUAAAAUUAUAUUAUAUGCAUUGCUUUAAGUAAUAAUUCAAGCUCAUUAUUACUUAUUUUUCUUCUCUUGAAUAUUUUUUAUUUUGUAGUUGAUUUUUUUUUAAAAAAAUAUUAUAUGCGUUACUUUUGGUUUUCCUUGCCCCUUGGUUUAAGGCGAGUUGUUCCCAUCUUAAUCCAAGAAAAAAAUUCAAAUAUAAUGAGACAUGACAUGUGUGAUAAUUUCUCGUGUUUAGUCAAUUUUGUUUAGUCUAAUUAUAAAAUUUUAAAAUUAUAUUAAAAACAAUUAAAUUUUUAAAAUUUUAUAACAUAUUUUAUUUAAUAAGUAUUAUUUUCAUUAUUUGAUAUAGGAUCCAAAUUUUAAAAAACAUCUUAAAUUCCUAAUUUAUUUAUUUUAUAUGUGGAUAGAUAGACAAACAAAUGAAGAUAACAUUUUUUUUACUUACAAAUAUACAAAUUAGGGAUAAAUAUGAAAAGACAAAUCAAAUUAAUUUUUUUUAUAAAUUUGAUAUCCCGAUACUUAAGCUUAAUAUGCAUAUCAUUCUAUUGUAAUCAUUAGGCAGAAAUAUCACUUGUGCUGAAAUCUGAAAUGAUUGAAGAAUAACUUAACAAAGGAUACAAAACUCAUUACUUAAUGGUUACAUUGGGUAGAUACCAUCAUAGUAGUGGGUAGUAUACAAACAAGUCAUAAUCAAGUGUAAAGGGCAAAACCCAUUAGAGGAAAAGGCAGGGGGGCAGAGCAUGUUAUGAAUGCUUAAUCCAAAGUAAAGAAAGGUUGGUUUGCAUGAUGAAGCUUGAAAACCCCCAUCAUCCACCCCCCACCAAAACCCAUUAAAGAGAGAUUUAUGAUAACUCCAUACCAUAACUAAGACACACUCCUACCACCACCACCACCACCACCAUCCCCACAAAAAACUGUCAUCAUGUUCUCCACUUAAGCCAUGUUGUUGCUACAGAUUAAUGGCUGUGACUCCCCAUUUGGGCCCCAUCUUAUUCGUACCAGGGAGGUGAAAGUUUUGAUUGAAUCUAUGUCAUGUGUCACCCCCAACUGCUCCACUCUUUAGUCAACAAAUGAGCCUUAUUCUUUAUAUAUACUUGAAGCAUAAAAAACAAACCAACUCCAAUUAUUGCAGAUGGUCGAGCCCAAAAUGAGAAGUACUACUCAUCAAAUACUCUUCUACGUUAUUAUUAUCAUUAUGGAUUUAUCUAGCUACAACAUCAAAUGUUACCCUAUUUCUUUUCCUUUUUUGACUUUUUUAUUUUUUAUUAAUCUAUUGAAAACACUUAUGUUAUCAUUUAUAUAUUUUCAAAUCACAUUAUUUAUACAUUAUUCUCAUUUAUUUGUAUAUUUAUAUCUUUAUUUUAUUUGUUCAUAUUUUGAUUUAACAGUCUAAAUUUGAUCAUUUAUAAUAUUUUAUUUUAUAAAUGUUACUACAAUAUUAUACGAUAUUUUUUUUAUCUAUAAAAAUGACAUUAUUUACCAAUGAUAUUAUAUAUAUAUUUUUAGAUUAUGUUGUUGGUAUCUUAUUCCCAUUUAUUGGUACAUUUACGAUUUAAUCUCAUUCAUUUGUAUGUUUGAAUAUUUAAAUCAUAUUAAUUAUAUUAUAUUCAAAUUUAAAUCUUUUAUUCAUCGAUGCCAUUAAGAUAACUUAAUAUUUUAUUAUUAUUAUUAUUAUUAUUAUUAUUAUUUAUGUAACAAAGCACAUAGCACAUAGCACAUAGCACAUAGCACAUGCAAGUCAUGCCUCUUUGUAAUUUUUUUUUCUUUUUAAAUUUUUGUGUUUUUACAUGUAUUGCAAAUCCCAAGAGAAGGAUUAAAUAGAGGGGCCGUUUUCUUCAUCGCGUUGUCACUUUCAUGGCCUCUACCAAAGUGGAGCUGCACAAAAUUCAAAGCGUUAGGUUUGAUGAAGGAAGGAACAGGGUGUGUGAUGUCAUCAUUUUCAUGGAGAGAUAUAGCAUGUGCGGUGUGUGUGUGUUUCCUUUUUUGAAGUUUGCAAUCGUUUGGAUGAAAAAUAGAAAGGAAUAAAAGUAGGAAGAAAAAUGAAAAAUAAAAUUUAAAUUAAUAAAUUAUUUUUAUAUAUUAUUUUAAAUUUAUUUUAACUAUUUUAUAUAGAAAUUAAAUAAUUUUAUACAUUUUAAACUAAUAUUAAUCAUAUUUAAUCUUUUUUAUAUUUUUUAAUAAUAAAACUAAACAUAACAUAAAAAGCAAAAUUGUGAUAAGAAAUUAUUAAUUUUAUGAAAAAAAAUUAAAUAUAUAAUAAAAUAUCUUUUGAUUUAAUUAAAAUAUAGAUAAUUUAACAAAAAAAAAAAAAAGUUUUAGUAAUACCCAUAAGAGAAAGUUAAGAGUUUGUUUCGUAAUUAUUUUAAAAAAUAGUUUUUGAAAGCUGUUUUUUAUGUUUUACAGAAUAAAAGUUUAUUUGAAAACUUAAAAUAUUUUUAACAUAUUUUUUAAUAUUUAAAAGAAAUUAUAUUUAAUAUUUUAUUUUUAAUUAUUCCAUAUUUUUAUAUAAUUAUUUUUCAAAAAGUCAUUAAAAACAAUUUUUAGUUAUCAUAAUUGUUUUCCUAAUUUUGUUUUUUAGACAACUGAAAACUAUUUUUAAAAACGAUUCCAAAUGAGCCUUAACAAAUAAUUUUUCAUGUCACAUUAUUAUUAUUAUUAUUAUUAUUAUUAUUAUUAUUAUUAUUAUUAUUAUUCCGAUGAAACUUUCUUCCUCUCGAAGUCUUUAACAAGAAAGCUUCCAAAGUCAAAUGAAAAUUAAAGAAAUAAAAAAAAGAAAACAUCUUCUCACCAGAAAACAGACACUAAAAAAGUGGGUUGGCGCAGUAAUUUGUGAAAGGGUCCUAGCAAAAUAAAAUAUUGACAUUAUUUUUAUUUUUAUUUUUAUUUUUGUUUUAUUUUAUCUAUAAAGAAAUAUUAGCAAUGGCAUAGAGGAUGAGUUGACAACAAAUGAAUGAUAUGAGACUAAGUAUGAUUUUAUUUUAUAUAUCUAACCUAAAAACAACUAUAAAAAAAAUUAAUAGAAAAUAUAUUCUCCAAGUCAAUUUCACAUAAUUUUAAUUUUUCUCUGCAGAUAUUGAAAAUUUUGAGCAUACUUGUAAUGAUAGAGAACAACAAAAGUGUUAGAAAAUGGUCAAAUCAUUAGGUUUUCAAAGCCCAUCAAAACUUUGAAUUUUCAAACAUUCCAACUACAAACAUAGAUUUUAUUAUUAACUUAUGUAAGGUUUAUUGCGUUGAGUUUUGAACAAGCAAACUUUUAUAUAUAUAGAUAGUACGACAACAUUUUAGAUGUUUUUAUGUGAUUAUUGUCAUAGGGUUCGGUUUUUUCUAAGCUUAUGUCCGAUAUUUAGGCAAGUUAAGAUACUUGAUAUUAUUAAGUUAGCAUUUUCCUUAAACUUAGCUACCUAGGCUAAGUUAGGUAUUAUGCUUCAUAAGGAAGAAUCAUUUAGACUAGGGUGUGACACUAUGGAACCUUAGUAUAAAAGGAAAUGUCUCGUGUUAAGUAUUAACUUUGCGAGUUUUCUACUAGUAUAUUAAACUUAUGCCAUAAGAAAUAGGAUUUAUUUUGUACUUUUAUUAUUGUCACAUAAGGUUGAAUGUGUAUGUACAUUAUUACAUAUACAUCCUUCUUUGUAAAGAUUUAGCAUAUGAGAUCCUAAAGUUACAAUUAUUACAACUUUUUGGACUUUUUUUUGUGCCUAUGGUACCUUAAUUUAUAAGGAAAUAUCUCACAUUAAGUAUUAAAUUUGCAACUUAUAUGUGUAUUGGGUGUCAUUUUCUUAAUCUAGGUUCUAUGGUAUUCAUUAUUGGGUGUCAAAUUCAACUUUGAAUUCGAGUUAUUGAUAUGACUUAAAUAAAAAUAUAAAAAAAUAAAACUUAAAUGUGAAUAAAUGUGACAAGGUACCAAAAAUUAGGAAAAAAAAAACUUAUUUUAAAGGUAUAAAGAAAUCGAUGGAUUGAGUGUCGACUUUUCAGUAUGACAAUAAAAAGCAUAGUUUUUCUUAUACCUCAGAAAUUAUUCGGAACUUAUCCGUUAAUUAAUUUAAAUUAAGUAACACGUGGAAAGAUAUAAUAGAAUUACAAAUAAGGGGAGAUAUAACAAAUGAGGAAAGACCUCUUGAAAUUCUAAUAUGAUGUUAAAUUAUUAAUUUUCCUAAAAGUUUAAGCUUAUAAGAUUUAAGUUUGCUAUACAUAUCACACUUGUAAACAGACUCUACUUUUAUUUUUCAUUUUUUCUCGAGUUCACAUGCUCCGGAGGGAUUCCUUCUAUAUUUAGAAGGAAUGAAAUGAAGUGCCCGUCGAUUGGGCUUAUGGGCUUGCAAUAGAAACUAGGUGGCCAGGAUUUGGGCUUCACUGUCUUCUAAAGUCCAUACAGUUUGUUCCUAAAUUGGAGGCAUUGGGCCCUACCCUAACGGACAUUUGGUCCUCUGCUGGCGCAAUAGCCAACUGUCCUUAAUGGUUGGCUGGAGUGCCUUACAAAGGAAAAGAAAAUGAGAUAAAAGUUUGGGAUCUGGGCCCACCAAGCCCACCACAACCACCUUUCUUUAGCGUGGGAAUUCAUAAAGAGAAGACCAGUGGACUUGAUUCGGUGGGUCUCAACAGGCCCAUUAAUACCUAUAAAGCGAGUUUACCUUCAUUGUUGGAAUAUGAUAGAUUUUCUAAAAAUAAUAAGUCUAGCAUUUAUAAAAUUUUGGAUAUCGUCAAAUAGGGUAUGUUUGGCAAUUGUUUUGAAGAAUAGUUUUCUAUUUUAUAGAAUAAAAAAAGGGAAAACAUGUUUGACAAUUUAAAAAUUGUUUUAUGUUUUUUAUUAUUAAAAACAAAAAAUAUGAUGUUUUAAAAAAAAAAUAUUUUCUUGGUUUUUUUAAUUAUUUUCUUAGAAAUGUUUAAAAAAAUAAUUAUAUAAAUAAUAAUUAAAAAUAAAGCAAUAGAUAUAAAAUUACUUUUAAAAGAUAUUUAAAAAUAUUAAAAAAAGAUUAAAAACAUUUCAAGUUGUCCAACAGACUUUUAUUUUAGAAAUUAUAAGAGAAUAGUUUUCAAAAACUAUUUUUGAAAACAAUUACUAAACGGGUCAUAGUUUUUUUAGAGUGUAUUUGACACCUAAAAUUAGUAAUUGAAAUGAAAGUAAAUCACAAUAUGAUAUGAAAAACAAAGUUUAGAGAGGCGAAAACACAUGUCUUGUGAAAUCAUUGCAUUUUCUGAUCUAUUUCCCUUAUAGGAUUUAUCUAUAAGAAGGAUGAAAUGAAUAAUUAAAAGUAGUAUUAAAACUAAAAAAAUUAAAAUUAUAAUGUAAAUAUCAAAAUAUUAGUUUUUUGAGACACAAUAAAAAAUAUAUAUAUAUAAAUAAAAUAUUGGUUUCCUAUUGAAGAUUCAUCAUUCCUAUUGAAAAAAUGAGAGAAUUUUCAUGCCCAGGACAUGGAAGAGAAGCCCAGCAUCUCUGACACCUUUACAAGCCCAAGGCAAUUGGGGCCCUGGCCCAUGAGUAACCCGAGUUCUUGGUCCAACCUGAAAAGCAGUUGCAGGUUUGUAGCCGAAGUACUGUUCACAGUGGAGCCCAUUAGUGAAGCCCAAGAAGCAAUAAUAUAAUGGGCCUUUGUAUUUAAGUGUUGGUCCGUACUGAAAUUUAAGGUAUUAUAUAAAACUAUAUUAUUGUCACUAUACUAUCUAAGUUCAUGACUAUAAGUAAAAAUACAUAUAUAAAUUAUUAAGAGCUUAUUUUUAAAAGAAAAAGUUCUUGUGGUUAAAGCUAUGUUUGGUUUCUAAAAAUUUUUGAGAGAAAAUGUGAGAGAAAUAAAAUAAAAAGAAAAAAUAAAAGAAAAUAAAAGACGAAGAAAAAUAAAAAAAAUAGGGAAAUCAAACACAAGAAAACCAUUUUUCUUAGUUUAUUUUUUCUUAAUACUUUUUGAGAACCAAAUAUAAUCUCGAAUAAAAACUUUAAUUAUGUUAAAGAAAAGUAAAAUAUGUAUUAUUUGAUUAUUUAAUAUUUAGCAAUAAAUGAAAUUGAAACCAUUAAUAAAUAGUCAUGACUUAAUAAGAAUUCAACAUUUUAAUUAUAUUCCUAUGUAUAAAUAGUUGUGUCAUUACCUAGAAUUUAAAUCUCAAUUAAGGUAAUUUAAUGGAAAUUAAGUUUUUGAACUACAAAUUUUUAAUUUUACUUUUUUCAACCAAUAUAGAAUAAUGAACAAAAAUCUACGUUGAAAAGAGGUGGAAGGAAAAGAAGAGAGUAAGGAAAGGUAUGGAAAAACUAAUGGAUAUAUAUAUAUUUUAAAUAAAGAUGUUAUAUAAUUUUUAGUUUUUGUUUAUAAGAGUGUUUCGUAAAUUAAUUUAACGAAGUAAUAUGACUUAAUAACUUAAUUUAAGCUAUUAAGUAUAUUAAUUAUAUUUGAUAAAAUAACUUAAUAUUAUCAAUUAAAGUUAUUUUAAAUUUUAAAUUUUAAAUUUUAAGCCAAAAUAGACAACUUUUCUUAAUCUUAAAUCAUUUUUACUUCAUUUUUUUAUACUAAUGAGAAUAUAUUUUAAAAUUAUGAUUCCGACUUAUUUUUUAUAAUAAAUAUUUUAUAGUUAUCUUAUAUAUUUAUAAUACUUUAAAUAUAAAUAUUUUAUAAAUAAAUUUAUUACUUAAAAUUAAUAAAAACUAAAUAUGAGUUAAAAUCAAUAAGGAUGAAUACUAGUUAAAAUUAACGACGGUAAAUGUGUUAAUAUAAUGAUUUAGAAUAAAUUUUGAGUUAAUUUUACCAAAUAAUCUUAAUACUUAAAAUAAAAAAUAAUAAUUUAAUUUAAAAUUAAUUUAAAUUAUUAAAUAAUAAGUAUUGAGUUUUUUCAAAUACUCACUGAAUUUUAUUUUAUUUUAUAGUUACGACAAUACUGAGUAAUUUUAAAAGGAAAAUGUUAGAAUUUUAUAUCAAUUUAUAAUACAUGCUAUUAAGAUAUUAUGUACCAAGUCAUCUCAUAGUAGUUGAAAAUUAGGGGUCUUUUUUUUUUCUUUUUCUUUUUUAACUUGUGGUGAUUCAAAUCCUAAUUAGGUUUCAUUUGGAUUGGUAUUUGAGAACUUAAAAGCCCUAAAACUUAUUUACAGCUUUUGUGUAUGUUUAUAAACUUUUUUUUUUCUUUAAGGAAACUUACAACCUAAAAAACUUUAAGAUAAAAGUGAGAAAAUUAUUACUUCAUAUAGAAUUUUUAUUUUGACUUAAAUAAUGUCAAAUACAUUACUAUUUUAACCAACCACCCUUUGUUCAUCUAACAUUCCUCUACCUACCACUUUUUAGUUUUACUUUACAAAUUCACAUGACAACACAAUAUAGUAUCAAAUUGGUUAUGCUGUGAAUAUUUUGAAAAAAAAUAAAAAUGUUAUUCAAAGAUGAGUUUGAUAUAAGGGUCUCCAACGGGCGGGCCGGGCCGAGCUAAAAUGCUAGGCCCGCGGCCCGGCCUAUGAGCCCGCGGGCUAGCGGGCUGGCGGGCUGGGGGGCGGGCCAGGCCGGGCCGCGGGCUUUUUUAAAUAAGCCAAAAUGGCUUUUAAAUAAAGGAAGGAAGAGGGGGGGAUUCGAACCCCUCCCCUCAAGCUUAAAUUUCAAGGCUCUAACCAACUGAGCUACAUUUCUUUUGUGCUUAUUAAAUGAGUUAAUUAUAUAUAUAUAAAAAUAUAGUAUAUUAUUUUUUUUAAAAAAAUUAAAGGCGGGCCUACGGGCCGGGCCUAAGGGCGGGCCGACGGGCCAAGGCUACGGGCCGGGCCGGGCUUGGGCCCAGCGGGCUCGGGUCGGGCUUUAGCCCGUCGGGCCGGGCCGGGCCUAAAGCGGGCCGCGGGCUUUUUGGAGACCCCUAGUUUGAUAUCUAGUCAUUUAGCAUUGUUUCAAAAGAAAAAAAGUUUAGCUUUCUCCUCUAAAAAGUUUAGGUUUGACCUCUAAAGUGAAGGUUCAUAAUAUGACAAAGCAAGGAGAGGGGGAAUAAAGUCAACCUUGGCGACCUAAUCCAAUAAUGAUCUCUAAUUAAAUAUUAUUUUAAUGACUAUAUAUUUGAUUAUUACAUUUUGUAAAUAAAUUCUAUGACAAUUGUUUUUUCCAGAAGGAUGAUGCAAUUGUUGCUCUUAGAUUAUCUAGUUUAUAGAAGAUGACUACAACAAUUAGAAUCUUGUAGAUGGUACGUUUAUUGAUGUUAUGAAUUAUGAUAUGAGAAUAUGAGAAUAUGACAAUUGAGUCUCUAAAAGAUUAAGUAAAAUAAUCAUUACCAUUUAUGAAAAAUAAUAUUUGAGAUAAUCAACAAGGGGAGGUGUUGUUGCUUGACUAUUGUGAUAGGGAAGAAAGAUAAACCCUAUUUGAUUACUAUUUUCAAAUAUAAGAGUCAUUUAUAAACCAAUAGUCACAAUAGCCAUCAAUUGAGGAAGGUGUUUGCACUAGUUUACAAAAGAUGAUUGCAACGAUUAGAAUAUUGUAAAUGGUAUGCCUAUUUAUGCUAUGAAUGAGUAUAUAGGAACAUAAGAGAGCAUGUCAAUCGAGUAUUUGAAAAGAUUAUGUAAAAUAAUCAUCACUAUUUGUAAAAAAUAAUACUUGAGAUGAUCGCAUGAGGACCAUGUUGCUCGACUAUUAUGAGAAGGGGAGAAAUAUGAGCCUUGUUUGAUAACUGUUUACAAACAUAAGAAAGGUAUUUGUAAACCAAUAAUCACAAUAGUCAUCGAUAGAAAAGGGUGUUUGCUUGACUACCAUAACUAUUGGUUCACAAAAGACUAUUUCAUCAUUUUAAUCAAUCAAUUCAAUUAAAAACUCCAAUUUAAGUAUUGUACCGACCAACGUUAGUAUUUGAAUUUAUUACUUUUCAUAAUAAGAUAUCCACGAAUGAUCUUAUUUUCUAUUUUUAUAUAAAAGUGAUAUUAUUUUCUAGUUUUAAAAAUAAAAAUUUAAAAAUGGAAAAUAUAUUUAAGCCAUUACUAAAAAAAUUGAUCUUCAUAAAAAUCCACGUAAAAAAUUUAAAUAAUAUAAAAAAAUAAAAACUAUCAUAUUAUUUAUCCAAUAGUUACCUUACUUUCCAUUUCCCAUGAUAUCACAACUCUUCCCAACUUUAAAACUUAACCAAACACAAAUUAUUGAUACCAUAUAUUUUCUUCCUCAUUAUCAUUAAUCAUAUUCUAUCACAAUCUUUUAUUUUUUAAUUUUUCACAUUGCAAUACAUGGAAAAUAAGUAUUUUAAUUAUAUACUAUACCAAUAUAUUUCCUUACAUCUUUAUAACCUCCUAAAAUAUCUUUAAAUAUAAUUUACCCUUUAACCUUUACUGUGUUUUACAUUUUGCCCGUUUACGUUUCAAAACUUAACAUCUUGCUUCCUAAAUUUAUUAAACAUCAACAUUUAACCCCCAUAAAAUUAUAAAAGAAAUUGUUUUUGUUUUUUUGAAAAUUAUUUUAAAUUUAGAUAAAAUCAAUUUUAAAUUAAUAGUCUUGAAGUGAAAAUUUUUAAAUGUCUUUUAAAUAUGAUUGCCAAUUUUAAUUUUUAAUUUUAAAAAAUUAUUUGCAUGUAAAUUCAUUAUUUUCGUAUGUAACGCUUCAAACUCAAAUAAUCGAUGUUUUUCAAUACAUUUUAGUCUUAUUUUUUUAACUUCACUUGCCAUUUAUUGUUUUUCAAUAUAUUAUGAUUUUUUUUUAUUAUUGGAAUUAUUUGAAGAGGAUAUUUUAUUACUAGUAUCCAAGAGCGGAGUAGCUUAGCACGUGACGCACGUGACGUGCAGUGAUGUCGACGCAUAAAAAAUUAAAAGACGCGACGAGUGCGGCCACGCUUAUCGCCAUUCGAUUUUCUCUCUCUCAAUUUCUCAAAAGCCAGACUUGAUGAUGACUUGCAUCUUUUUAAGAUUCAAUGAAGGGCUUUACUGUAAUUUAACUCUGUUAGAUAUUUUCUCUUUGGGACCUGUAAAUAUCUCAAUCCUUUAAAGUCGGUCUAUCCAUCACGUGACGCUGGGCCCCAUCUUAACCCAACUUCCUCACACUUUCUCCUCUGUUUCUAACUGUGGUUCACCGCGCCGAAUCAUCUCGUAGACCGUAUGUUUGGUUACGCCUAUAACUUGAUUCCGCGUGCGCUUCUGCUUCACCUAACCACGGUCGGCAUAAUGGAGAACUCGAAAACCAGCUGACAUGGCUUAUUAUUUUUAUUUGAUUCCAUUAUCUUGUUUGCUACUUACAUGUCUAUAACAUCAAUGAAUUUUUUUAAGUGGUAAGUCUUUUUCGGGAUUAUUAUUUUGAAAACUUUCUUAAAAUGUAAGGAAAUAGUAAGAAUUGGUCGCUUCAAUCCAUAAAAAUAUGGCAAAUUGGAAUUUUGGCCGGGACAAGCUCUCACUCAUCACCAAACAUUCCAGAGCCCCGACCCAGUUUAACUCAAGUUACUGUAACGCUGACUGCACACGCGUACUAACUAACCGUAGUUAAAGACGGACGAGUUUUGGCUAUAAAAUUAGGGUUUGGGAAACAAGAGUCAUUGUGCUUACAGAGGCGGGUUCGGCUUAGGUCCCCCUCUUUCCCCAAAUUUCCUCCUUAGUCCUCUAUUUUUUCGGGUUUUAGAUCUAAUGGCUUCUGCAGAGAUCGAGUACCGAUGCUUCGUCGGAGGGCUCGCUUGGGCCACCGACGACCAGUCCCUCGAGAGGGCUUUCAGUCAAUUUGGCGAGAUUCUUGAAUCGAAGGUCUGUUUUAGGCCGUCGCAGAGAUCGGAUCUGACUCGAUUCGGCUUUGUUGAUCCCUGAUCUGAUCUGUUUGUGUUACUCUGAUUCCGUACUUUGUUGAUCUGUGUUCUGUGUUAACUAUCUGUGAUUCUUUUACUAAUCCCCUGAAACGGUACGUUCCAUCUUCAUCUUGUGAUGAAAGACGAAGAUCGAUCGAUUUUGAGUUUCAGAUUUAUGUUUUUCAUGUGUAUAUGAGGAAUUUGUGGUAGAUCUGACCUUAUUGGCUUGUUCUGUGUGUUUGGAUUACAGAUCAUCAAUGAUCGUGAGACUGGGAGGUCCAGGGGCUUCGGAUUCGUUACGUUCAGUAGCGAGCAGUCGAUGAGGGACGCCAUCGAGGGGAUGAACGGCCAGAAUCUUGAUGGUCGUAACAUAACCGUAAACGAAGCUCAGUCCCGUGGAAGCGGCGGCGGAGGCGGCGGUGGUGGUGGCGGAGGCGGCUACCGAGGGGGUGGUGGUUACGGAGGAGGUGGUCGCCGUGAAGGUGGAUACAGCCGUGGUGGCGGCGGAGGUUACGGAGGCGGCGGCGGCGGUUAUGGCGGUGGUAGUCGCGACCGUGGUUACGGAGACGGUGGAUCUCGCUACUCUAGGAGUGGUGGUGCUUCGGAUGGCAACUGGAGGAACUAGAUUUAGAGUUUGGCGAUGGGUGUUUUAGUUUAAUGGUUCUGUUCUGAUGUUCUGGUUAUGUUUUUUUGCUGCUGUUUGGUUCUCUCUUUUUGAUCGCUGGGUUUGAUAUGAUUGUCAGGUUACUGCUUUAAAAAAAUCGGAAGUUCCAAAUUGAAAUGAAUGAUGAAAGAAAAAAUUGGAUUUUGGAAUACCUAAUCUCAAAUCGUAAUAUAUGCCAUUGCCAAUGAGAUAUAUUUACCAGUUAUCUUAGAUGCAGUUAAUUUUGUUUUGCUGGAGAACUCGAUCCCAUUUCUGGUGUGUCGCUGAUUCUAUUUUAAGAGAGUUAAUGCUUGGCCUUUGAUGAUUGGUGAUAAAAGUCUCUUUGAGGAGUUUGAAUUUUAUUUUUUGGACUUGAAUGCGUUUAAGAUUUAUACAGUCAUUUUUUAUAAAAACAAGUUCGGAAAAAAUUGAAAUUAUUUAAAUGGUCAGAGUUCCCCUGUUUUUAUGAUUUAUCACCUUAAAUCAUAAAUUACUAAUGAAAAUGUGCAGAGUCGGAGAUAUAUUUGAUAUAAAUUAGUAAACUUGUGAUGAAAACCUAAUUUUGGAAUUGUAAAAUAAAUACAGUCAAGAAGGGAAGAGGGGAUGAAAAAUAAUAAUUAAAUUUAAAAUUGAUAAAUUAUUUUUAUAUAUUGUAAUUUUAAUUUUAAAAUAUAAGAAAUAUUAAUAUAUUUAAAUCUUUUAUAUCACUUUUUACGUGAAAUCAUCAAAAUAUCUUUUUUGAACUUCUACAUAAUCAUCAUCAUAAGCCUUCUAUUUUCAUUUCCAUUUUUUUUCCUUUGUUUUUUUACCUUAUAAUUAAACAACCAAAAAAAAUUUAGAGAAAAAGAGAAAAGAAAAUGCAUUGAAGGGAGGAAAAAAAAAGGAAUUAACUUCAUUCCCGACCUUUCAUAUCAAAGAAAAAAAAAGAGCAUAAAGAUUUAUUUUUUGUUUUUAAAAAUAGAAAAUAUAUUUUUUUUUUCAAAAAAUAUUUUUAAAUUAUUUUAUAUUAUUUUCAUUUAUUUGUUUAAAAAGAAAUAAUUAUAAAAAUAUUUUAGGUUUUUAAUUAGAUUUUUGUUUCUUAAUUAAAGAAUUUUUUUCAAAAUUGUUAUAAAAACUAUUUUUAAAAACAGCAAAUUCAUUAUAUAUAUUCUUUUACUUUUCAUUUAUCAUUUUUAUUUUCCUUUCCCUUCACUUAAAAUAAUAAGGAAAUUGAAAGAAAAAAAUGGAAGAAGAAAUAGAGUAGGGUCUUAGGUGGAUAAGUGAGAAAAGGUUGAAAAGGAUAUUUUUAUUUAAAAUUAUGGGUUUUAGGUGGAUAAGUGAGAAAAGUUGAAAAGGAUGGUAUUUUUAUUUAUUUAUUUUUUUGUAUUUAAAAUUAUUUAUAAAAAAAUGGAUGGACAUGAGGAGAGAUUGGAUAAAUGUAUUUAAUAAUAUUUUAACUCAUUCAAAUAUUUGUGCAAAGUUUAAAAUAUUCCCAAAAGAAAAUGUUCUUGUGUAAAAUGGGUAUAAAAAAUUCGAUGAUAGGUAUUUUUAAUCUAAAAUGUACUAAAACACCUUUAUUAUUUUGUAAAUAAAAAAAAGUUCUGAUGUGAAAUGAGUAUAAAAAUUUGAGGGGUAUUUUUGUAAAAAAAAAGUUACUUUUCUUGUUUUAAAAAACAUGAAGGUUAUUUUAUAAAUUAGUGACAAAUUUUUUACCCUUUUAAUAAAGUGAAAUAAUAUAUACAUAUCCAUAUACCUAAUCACUUUUCAUAGUAUGAUUCUUUGGGAAAAAAAAAAAAAAACACUUUUAGUGAAAGUCCAAGGCAUCCUUAAAGUUCAAUACAACCAUAUUCCUCAAUUUAUUUUCUUUGGAUAUCUCCAAAAUCCUAACAAAUUUUUGAAAAAAGUUGUGAUUUUUGAACAAUAGACAAAUAAACAAUAAUCUCCAAUCAUGCUACCACUUUUUUUGCUUUUUAAGGUGAGAGACUAUAACUUGGUACACUCUUUUAAGGGUGUUCAAGAGUGUAUUAAUGAACAUCCUUAAAAGCAUCCAAUACCAUACCAAACAUUCCCUAAGUGAUGAAUUUAGCAUUAUACAUUAAACCUUUGGACACCCUUAAAUAUGUUAAAUGAAUACAUAUUUAAUGGCUCUUUAAUUAAAUAACCUUUUAUUUUUGUUAUUGUAUCUUAUUUUUUAAGAAAAUUUAGAUUUAAAAUUUUCUUAUUAAUUUUAAAGCCAAAUCAAAAUUUUGUAACAAACACACUAUUUAUGUAAAAUGAAAAUAAAUAACAUUAAAAACAUUAAAUUUAUAUUUCAAAAGCGAAUUUAUUAAAAAUUAGGAUUUGAUACUCUUUCCCAAAUUAAAAAAAUUAAUAAAUUGAUCCCAAUAAUAGAGCAGAUAUUUCAAUUAUAAAUCUAUAAAUGCAAAUAUAAGCUACAUUAAAACAAGUUUUAACUUAGAAUUUUUUUUAACAAUCAAACAUAAUUUAAAAUCCUAAUUAUUAUUCAAUUAUUAAUUUCUAAUUAAUUCUAGAAUUAAUCAUUAUGAAUUUAUUAUGGUAAUAAUUCCAAGUAUUUUAAAACAUUUGAGACUAUGUUUAAUUAUUAUUAUUUUUUCAAAUUAUGAGUUUUUGAUUUAAAAUAAAAAAGAAAUGUAAUAGUUAAUUUUAUAAAUAUUUUUAAAAUAUAAAAUAAAUAAAUUUAAUACUUGAUGGUAUUUUAACAUUAAUAAAGACAAAUAACUUAAGACUUAACAAAAUGAAAAAAAAAUAAAAUCUAAAUAUGAUAUUCAACUCUAAUUUAUAUUUAAGUUGAUUUUAAGUCAAUUCAUGAUUUUUGGUCAAUUUUAAGAGCCGAUUUUGUAGUACUUUUUAAAAGUGUUUCUAGUCCUAAAAACAGUUAAAAACAUUUUUAAGACAAAAAAUAGGUGUUUGACAAUAUUUUGAAAAAUACUUCUGAAAAUCUAAAAAACAUUUGAAUUUUUUUUAAAGCACUUGAGAGGAAAAAAACACUUCAAAAUUACUAUUCUCCAUUUCCUCAUCUUCCGCUUUCUUCUCACUCUCCUUUUCCUCUUUCACUUUUCUUUCAUAAAUAUAUAUAUAUAUAUUUAGUUUUUUUAAUAAUAUAAAUAUUUAUAUAUUUUUUUGUAAUAAAUAUCAUUUUUAAUAAUUUAUUAUUAUUAAAAACGUUUUUACAUUUAUGCAAUAUAUCAUUAAAAAAUAUUAUUAGAACCUUCUAGAUUUUCGUAAAAAAGUAGAAGUAUUAUACAAGAAAACACUUCGGUAAAACCGCUUGAAGCAAUGUGAAACGAGCCAUUAAUAAUCUAUACCAUAUAAUGAAAGUUGUGAUGCAAGUUUGUCGUCACUGUUUCACCAUCCUUAUUUGUUCAAUUAUUUAUGAUACUACCAUGGACCAUGUCCACCAGACCGAGUCUUCUCUCUAAAGAUUCCUUUCAUAUACAAAACACUACCAUAUCACGGGCAGAUAUUUUUGUUUUAGGCGGCAGACAAUUAAGACUUUUUUUUUCCAAGACAGUUCCAUGUUAUGAAGGGACAUAAAAAUCAAAGGAGACUUGCAAAGGAAAAGUGGAUUAUUUAUGUAUUUUUGGAUAAUUUAUAUAAUAAUUUUUAAAAAUAAUAAAAGAUUAAUUAGAUAAUUUAUACAAUAAUUUUUAAAAAUAAUAAAAGAAUUAAUCUUUUAUUAUAAAAAAAUAGCCUACUAUUUGAACUUAUUUUUUGCAAGCACAAAACAAACAAAUUGUUUUCGAAAUCAUUUUUUUUUUUUGACAAUAAUAAACUAUUUUUGAAAAUUAAAUUAAAUUACGAUUUUAAAUAUUAGUUUCUUUCAAAGCGAUGAAUGAAAUUGACAUGUAUAAAAUACUUGAUAUAUAUAUAUAUAUUUUUAUACAACUAGCUAAUGUAGUUUACAUGAUAUCUUAUUUUCUCUCAAAAAAAAAUGAAUACGAUUUUAACUAUUAACAUAAUCGUCACAUAAAUAUAACUAUUUUAAAAUAAAAUAUAUUCAAAUACAAUCAUAAAAUAGACAUAAUUUUUUUAAUAUAUAAUUUUUAUGACAUAAUUAAAAUUGAAUUUAAAUAUAAAAAAAUACGUUAUUAGCUAGUAGUUCACAUGCCUUGCACAUGAACCCAACUUAGUAAUAUAUAAAAGAAGGAAAACAUUAGUAAUGGAGGAAAAGAUGAUGGAAAAUUUGAAAAAUAGUGAUUGAAUUUUAUGAAAAUAUUGAAAUUAUUGGAUAAAAAUUGCUAGUGAGACAAAAAUUAAUUAAAAUUAAAAAAUAGUUAAGAAAUGACAAAAUAAGUAAUAUUAUAUGAAAUUGAAGCUAUUUUACUUAUAUAUAUAUAUAUUUAGAUUAAAAAAAAUUAAGAGAGCUAGGAAACCUAUCUUUAUAAACUUGAUCAUUUUUAGUUUCUAUAUCUUGUAACUUUAGUUUCAUAAUAUAAUAAAAAAAACCUAAUUACCGAAUCCUCGAGUUGACAAAAUAAUUCUAUUGCUUUCUAUAGAUUAGGGCAAAUAUGCUCCAAUUCCUCUCACAAGUUAAAGAUGGUGUAGGUUGUGACAGAAUCCAAACGACUAGCUUUCUCAACAUAGAGCUUUAUUCCCAUAUAUGAACCAUUAUGCAACUACAAACAAAGAAAAAAAAAUGAAUACUCAAAUUAAUAUAUUAUGAUAAUGAAAGUGUUUUGAUGUUAACAUUCAACUUUUGUUAUCUACACCAAAUUCUCAUUAUGAAUCAUUUUUGUCGUAGAAAUGAUUGUAGCUAGAUCAUUUAAUCCUUUCCUUGCACCUUGAAAGAGUAUAAGUUACAUGUUUACCAUAACAAUAAACAUUUAGUGAACUUUCAAAUAUAAUAAAAAAGGAAUUUGUAAUUUAAAUGAUUUGAAAUAUAGGACCAUCAAAGUUACCUUAUUUCCAAAUUAAUAAGGCCUUUAGUAGUAGGGUCUAAUAUGGCAAAUAUGGUUGUACAAUGCCAAUUAGAUUGGGAUUACUACGAACACUCUCCUUAUAUUCAAAUCUUAGAUUGAGGUAGUAUGCUACAAAAUUGAAAUAUAAUUAGCAGAAAUUUAAUAUUAUUUUAAACUUACAAAUAUCAAGAUUAAUAAUUAUUAAUAAGUGAAUGAUCGAGUGUUUUAUCUCAUUAGUUAUUGAAGAUGUUUUGAACUCAAGUCGUGUUGUUUAUAUGUUUGAGGUCCUCUUUCAUAAGACAAACUAACUUGUAUACAAAGGAUAUUAUGGGAAUGACUUGAAUUCAUGAUUCAAAUAACAACAUAUAAUGGGUCAUAAAUUGUCAUUACAAUUGGUCAAUUAUCACUUAAUCCCAAAGAGGGUGGUUAAACAUUUUUUUUCCACUUCUCUUUAAUUGUUGUAUGACUUAGUUUAUUAUGUGUCAAUUCAUCACUCAUGAACAAUAUCUUUAAAUCGACCAUCUUUUUAAAAAUAUUAUCUAAUGCUAUGUGGUUACCGACAAAUCUUAUUGUCUUAAGUUAGGAUAUAUCUUUACAACAUAUUUUUUCAUUUAAAUGAGUAACCAAUCAUGAUUGCAGAUAAAGUUAAUCAUCUUUGUAGUCAUGCUUGUCAUAUCUACAACAUUUUGUCAUUUUCUAAUGUCUUCAAAAAUUAAAAUGAUACAAUGUAUCUCUACAUCAACUUCUUCUCAACCUUAAUUAAUGUUGAACUAUUGUGACAAUCUAAACCACAUUUGUUGAGCCAACAUAUUUCACAACAUCUUUCAACAAAAUAUAUAUAUAUAUAUAUUUUGGUCCUUGAUUUAGUUGGAUGCAUCAAUCAAUUUGAGAAAGAAUGUGAUACUUUUGGAAUACACCAUGAAAUUAAUGAUGUUUAACCUUGUGGACCCUAUCCAUCCAUUGCACGUUAUGACACAUCUAUAAGUCUUUCAUUUGUUUCUUCGUGUAUUUAUGUAAGCUUGCAUUUCUUUGUAAUUAAUCUCUAAAUACUUUUUUUUUUUAAUCUCAUAAGGAGUUGAUAAACUCAUAUGUGCAAUAAUGAUAUGCAACUACAUGGUCUCUUUGAUAAAAGCUCAUUUGAAUACAUCUUUAAUACUUUUUUGUCUCGCACUAGAUGAUCUGUAGCAUAAUGGUGGAAUUUAUAAUAUUGGAUCUGAGAUUCUUAACACUUUGUGUUCAUAAAAUAUACGAUGGUGCAUCACUAGGACAGCCUCUACCUAAACACUGCACUUGCUUCUAAUGAAGGCAUGCUAUUGUUGUCUUUCCUAUUAAAUAGCCUUGAAUGCUUACACUACAGCUUGAUAGGCCUCUAACAAGUUAAGGUGCAUAUCAAUAGAGUAUAUGUAGAUAUUUGCCUUUGAUUUUUCUCCAUUGUCCCACGCAAUUCAAUUUGAAUUUCCAUUCAUAUGUUCAAUUGUUUUUUGCUUUUACCUUAACCUUUUACAUUAUUAGCACCUUCAUCUCUUUCUUGACUUCAAGAGUUGCAUUUGGACAUUUUUUAUGUCCAAAAAUGGGUGUGACAUCCCACAUCGGAUAUGGGAGAAAGUUCCUGACACUAUAUAUGUAAAGAUUCCUCUUAACCAAGUAGACGCAUUUUAAAGCCGUGAGGACCCUUUUGACCCAAAGCGAAUAAUAUCUACAUGAUUGAGUACGAGUCGUUACAAUGGGUUUCUACGUGAUAGAUGAUACUUAAAUAUAAUAAUACUUCCACUUUUAAUAGACAAAUUUAAACCAAAAUAGCCUUUAUAAAACAUUUCUGACCAUUGGAUUGUAUCCAAAUUCAAACCAGGUCAUUGGCCAAAAAAAAAAAAAAAACAACUAUAAAUAGCCAACAUUAGGCUAUUUAUAGUUUCGAGGCAAAUUGCCCUCCGCCCAACCCCUCAACUUAACCUAAAGAUUCGAGGAUACAACCCAAUAAAUGAAAGCGGCUGGGCCCAAAAGACAUCGUUGCGUCUAAACUUUGGACUGGACUUGUUGGAUGCUGUGAGGCCCAGUACAACACAGCCCAAUUGAAAGCCCAAACAGUAUUUUAAAGGACCUCUCUUUCGGCAAAAAGGGAAAAGUGCAAGAAGGGCUUAAAGAAAAUGGAAAAAAGAAAAAGAAAAGAUAGCUAUGUAAAAGUUGUGGUAAAGCCGUAAAGGAUGUUGGUUUCGUAAGGGUCGGUUUUGAAAAGAUGUUUUUAAGAAUAAUUUAAAGGUGUUUUCAAAUGUUUUUUAAAGUAUUUUGAAAAAUAAUUUAAUAUUUUUUUUAAACACUCCGCCCUUUCGUCUAGAAAAGCACAAUCGAAUCGUUCUCAUGGUGGGCAUUGGAGACAUAAAAUUAAUGAAUAGCAGGCUCAUGCAAGCUUUAAUAUUCAGUAUAAAACCCCACUCCUUGUCAUAGGCUCUGAAAGGAGCUUUAUGUUGCUAGUCAUUUACUAUCAUUAUUAUUCUUGAGUCAGCGACCAACCUUAAGACUUUAGGCCAUCCAUAAUUCAAGCAGUAAAUUAUGUGUCUCAUGAUGCUUCGCAUUCAAGAAAGCAAUUCAGUUUCAAGUUUGAUUGAAAGAUAAAUGGGUGGUAACCAAGCAAUUGUUUUCACGUGAUUUAUGAUAUAUAUGUUCCUGUGGAAUAACAGUAGAACUACUCUAAAAGUCCGAUUUUUACUAUGUAGAUAUUGUCCGUUUUAAACCCAAUAGAUUUUUACAACUUUAAAAUGUAUUAACACAUUAAUGUCAUAUUGCAAAUGUAGUGAGCUUUUCUUAACUGUGUAAAUACAUUUUAAAGCUACAAAGGUUCAUUGAAUUUAAAACGAACAAUAUUUACAUGGAAAAAAAUGAUUUGUUACGAUUAUAUUUCAUAAUCAAUUGGAAAAUUAGGUUCAUGUGUUCAUAAAAUCCUGGGUUACCUUUUCUGUUUGAUAUGAUGGAAGCUUACACUAUUGUUCCUUUGUUCAUGGCCAUGAGAAAUAACCUGGGGAACCGCUUCUUGUUCCAGUCUGGUCCAGUGUCUUUCUCUAGUAUCACUCCUGCAAUAGCAUUCCCAUAAUCCAGAUUUUCAGGGCAGCACAAGUUUGAAAAGGACAAAAGAGAAUCAUCGGCAUUUGGAUGAGGAACUGAAACAAGAUCUCAAACAAUAUUGAUAUGGAGCCAUUCAGUUGAGUGACUAGCAUGCAUACUCGGCAAAGAAUGCAAUUCUCAAAUGUCAAAUGUUUGGUUCAAAUAUUUGAAUCAUCAAAAUCAAAAGGUAUCAUUGAGUACAGCAUAAGUUCUAUUUUAGCUCUCUUACCAACAGCCAUGCAAUGUUACCAGCCGACCCUGUGGCCACUGCCUAGUCAUAGAAAAUGCUAUGUGUUGUGAUUGAAGUUCAUAUUUCGAGUCUAAAGAGCCUUAUCAUUUCAUGUAAAUCUGUGUGUUCUUGUGAUGCGAUCCACUCGAAAUUCUUCACCCUCGUUGUACUAGAUACUGAGUCCACUGCCAAUCAUGCAUCUAAGAUACUUUUAUCUUUGUUCUUGGCGGUGGUGGGAGGAGUGGUGGGGAGGUUAAGAUAUUAGGACCUUUACAAACUCAAAUAUCCUUUGUCACAACCUAGGCUUAAGAUGGUUAGUGCAGGCUUUUUUUGCACAUACAAAUUAUCAAGUAUAAUACAACUUUAUAGUCUCCUACAGGGUAGGAUUUCUUCAAAUCUCAGUUCCAAGAAAAUAUGAAAGUACAGAAGAUGACCACAGCACAAAGGGUAGAUCUCCACAUCAUUUCAUAAUGGUCUAUCUUUCUAAUCCCUGAACUCCAUGGAAAAUCCCCAAACUAAACCCAAAUGAAAAGCAGGAGAAAAACUUUUUGAGUGAUGAAAAGGCUGUAAUUUACUAGUAAAGUUUUCGGCAUAUGAUCUUCAUUUAGCCAUCACAACCAUCAAUAAUCUAACCCUGAUGUUCAGCCAUAAAAGAUACUCUUGUUCUCGUAUCAAUUAUUCCCUCCAUGGAAUGAUGACGUUACAAGACUGUAGGGUGAGAAAGAAACCAAAUGCAGCAAAAGCAAUUUUUUCAAGACCAAAUGAUCCAUAUAUCCUCUCAUGAACAUAACUAAAAAUCAUUAAUGAUAAAAGGAAAAGAAAAAGUUUCAAAUGCUAUUGAGAAAUAUGGUUAAGGUACUGUGGUGCUAAGAUAUUCCAUUGAUGUACUUUAGUAAAGGCAGAUUGUACACAGGAGGAUAAUCAGUAGCUAAAAAUUCAUGAGGACAAACUAGAGACAAAUGGCAUGUUAAAGAACACUAUUCCAUCCAUGAAAGUGUAACACAAAAAAAAAAAAAAAGGGAAAAUGCACCAAGGAGACAAAAAGCAAAAUCAUUGACUUUGGACUACCCUUUUAAGAGAAUGACAAUUCAAGAUCAGCAUGAGGAUAGGAGAAUCCAUGCCCCACAAUAUCUUGCUGUGGUCUCCUUGACUCUUCCAACACUAGUUUUUGCAUAGUGAUGUUUGUAUGUGGCNNNNNNNNNNNNNNNNNNNNNNNNNNNNNNNNNNNNNNNNNNNNNNNNNNNNNNNNNNNNNNNNNNNNNNNNNNNNNNNNNNNNNNNNNNNNNNNNNNNNUGGCAGUCUAAUUACAGUUUUGAAAUUGAAAGGGUUUCUGUCCUCAAACCCAGUCAAUUCUAGUCCAAUACUCGUGGCAUGAUCUUUUGACAAGUUGAUAACAAGUUCAUUGCCACACCCAAAGUGAAAGAAAUUAUCUGUUACAUUUUUUUUCUUUUCCUUUUUGCUUGGCUCUAGUCCUAUGUGGAGCACCAUAUCUUAUCCAACUUCUACUAGCCACAUACAUAUUAUCAACUUAAAGCCUUUCUAUAUGGCUUCAGGCUUACCUCUUAGAAUCACACACACACACACACACACACCAACAAAUGCCUAUCAUACAAGUAGGAGAGUUGUACAAUUCUCAGUCACACAGAAGCAUACCACUUAGCAUAAUUCUCCUCAACUUGAAAUUUUUCACAAAAUCCUUUCCCCUUUCCAAGACCCAAGUUUUUUAACUCAAUAAAACCCAAAGUCCAACUACUUGGGUGGUCUCACAAAUCUCCUUUUCUAUAAUUCAGUUCUUUCUGGAGUCAUGUCCUCCAUUAAAGCUAAGGUUACCAUGUUUGUCACAGCUAAUUCCACUAAUUAAAAUUUCCCAAAUGUUUGAAGAUUCCCUUUAAAAUAUAUCUUUUUGCUUUUGUAUACCAAGGUGGGGCCAGUGCCUAGGCACAAUCAUUGGACUUUUUUCCCCUCCCUAAAAAAAGUUGAAGAUUCCUAGUUUUCUGUCCUGUAACAAAUAAUAAAGUUUUAAUCUUGAUGAAGCCUGAAGGCAUAUAUUACUCUCUGCAUCAACCCAUUGAGACACAAAGAAAUCAUUAAGCACAGUUAUAAUUCUGGAAUGAUUAGAGUGCAGUGUAACCCAACUUCUUCAACUUGGAAGGAAGGACCACUGGCAGAAGAUGAAUAGUCCUCAUACUUAACACACAUUCAUAGAAGAAUCCACAGAUAUUACUUUCAAGAGGAGAUAGAGGUUGGAUGAUAAGGAUUCUUAAUAUCAUUGGGAAGGUGCAUCUCAAGGCAUCACUCUUUUCGUACAGAUUCCUAGAAAGUUGCAUAAGUAAUUUUCAACCAAUGAUCACCGCCAGCCCCACUACAUGUGGUCGGUAUCCCAUGACCAGGACUUGUGCAACUUGACAAUUGGGGCCACAUUCAUUUACAAUAUAUCAAAUCCUAAAAAGUUUCACUAGCAGUAAGAAAAUUGCUUUCUCAUUAGGAACAUUCAUUUGGCAAUGGGAAUCCAAAAUUGUAAGGAAGAAAUUGACAAAUGACAUGAAAAUUCCUUAGGCCAAGUUGUUUCACCAUGUACUGAUAAAAUCAGUGAAGGAUUGGAACAGAUAGCUAUACUAUUACUAAAACAUAGCCUAUAAUUUUUCAAGAUACUAAGAUUUACAUAUUUCUUUAGUCUUUUCGUCUCCAAAAGUUGCUAGUAGGUUAAAAAUGCAACAUAUCAACUUCUUUGGCAACUUAAAGGGGACACAAUAACAUUAUCAAGACUUUGAAGGUGCAGUAUAUACCCCAUAUCUCAAUUAUGGAAGCUUCCUGCCCCGUUCAUUUUAUUCCUUUUAACUCAGAUUUGAGAGUUGUUUCCAUGGAUUCUAGUAGUGAAUAGACUAAACCGUAGCCUACUUGCAUGAUUUUACACACUAUGGGCCCAUAGGUUGGGGCUACUCUAGAGUCUAGACAACUUGCAGCCCAAAGCUAUAUGGUAUCAUUCAACCGACCUCUGAAAUCUGACAGUUUUCCAUACAGAUAUUUAGUUUCCUGGAAACCUAAUCAGGCAACAUGUGGUAUUUAUAAGCCUUGUGGGAAUUAAGCAGAAAAAAUUCAACUAGCAAAAUGUUAAAAUGUAAAUACUAAUAGUAGUGUUCAACAUAUACUAGCAUUAAACCAGAUUUACAUUAAUAUGAAUAAAUUCUUCGAAGGAAAGGAGUUUCUGCAAUCUGCAGGUUUCAAAUACAAUAAAUAAUGCAAUGACAGCAUGUAGGAAACUCUACUUUCAAUCAAAUAACCUAAUAAUCUCAAAGAAAUCAAUAAGAAAAGUCUCUUCAAAUGCUAGGAUGCUACUAGAGCCUACAAUAUUGUAAACUGAGAUAAUUCUCUUAAAGAGGAUAACAUUAGGCACCAUAAUUAGGAAGAGACAGAGAAAUGGACUGGUCAAUAGAUUGAAAACACAUUAAUCUUUUGAUAUAAUCUGGUCUAAAAUGGGAUUGCAUUAAUGUCUCUGUGGUUAAACAUGGAGGAAAGCAACUCGACCAGGCCAAAAGUACUUCUUGCAUUUGGCCCCAGUAAAAGAUUCUCUGAAAUUAUUACAUUUUGGCUGCCCAUGACUGACCUGAUAUAGUUUGGGAUACGAAUUGUAGAUCUUCAUUAUCAACAAAUAUACACGUAAGACUGAUAUAUGAGACAACUGGGCUCAAACAAUUUGUUCACCCAAGAAAAGUAAAACUUCAAAUCACUUUUCUUUUAAGGGAGGGAUAACCAAAAAUAGCAGUAGCAAGCAAUGAAAUAUACCCCAUAACGAGUUAAAAAUCAAAUAAAAGGUGGCUAACCUUAUGAACCAAGUGAAACCAGCCACCAUAGUGAAGUAACAGCUAACAACAAAGCAAACAAAUCAUUUCUGGAUAUCCUUGCUAUAUAUAGUGGUCUUUUAUCUCCUAUCUCUCAAUAGAUUCUUUGAAUGUGUUUAACACAAGAAAGUAUCAAAUCCUUUCUAGUUAUCAUAAAAUGGCUUAUUCCCCACUGUUGUUUAGUACACACUUUUCAAAUUUGCCUUUGCCUUAUCUGCAAGGCCUAGAACCAUAGUUGCUCUAAAUAUUAUGAUGAUAUGAUUAAUGAUUAAUCAUAUAGUGGGCCAUGAAUUCCACAUUACCUUUCUAAUUUAUUUAUCAAUCAAGGAAAACAUGGUGUUGUUUUCAUUUAUAUUGAUGUUUCCUUGAUUGAUAAGACACAGCCAACAGAACAAUGAUAACAAAGUGUCUGUAAUAUGAUGGGCUAAGGCAAAAGCUUAGCAUCCAUCAAAUCUGGUUCUUCAUUUCCUAAUUAGCAUUCAAGAUUGAUUAGAGGGCUCCCAUUCAACUUUUGACGAUAUCAAACC
This 30444-nucleotide long non-coding RNA is filed under the name Vitis vinifera (wine grape). RNAcentral's name for it is "long non-coding RNA (VVIN_LNC000703)". Lineage: Eukaryota; Viridiplantae; Streptophyta; Magnoliopsida; Vitales; Vitaceae. The record is from RNAcentral.